UGGGGAAUUUUGGACAAUGGGGGAAACCCUGAUCCAGCCAUCCCGCGUGUGCGAUGAAGGCCUUCGGGUUGUAAAGCACUUUUGGCAGGAAAGAAACGUCAUGGGUUAAUACCCCGUGAAACUGACGGUACCUGCAGAAUAAGCACCGGCUAACUACGUGCCAGCAGCCGCGGUAAUACGUAGGGUGCAAGCGUUAAUCGGAAUUACUGGGCGUAAAGCGUGCGCAGGCGGUUCGGAAAGAAAGAGGUGAAAUCCCAGGGCUCAACUUUGGAACUGCAUUUUUAACUACCGGGCUAGAGUGUGUCAGAGGGAGGUGGAAUUCCGCGUGUAGCAGUGAAAUGCGUAGAUAUGCGGAGGAACACCGAUGGCGAAGGCAGCCUCCUGGGAUAACACUGACGCUCAUGCACGAAAGCGUGGGGAGCAAACAGG
RNAcentral lists this ribosomal RNA (429 nucleotides) under Acidobacteriota bacterium. RNAcentral's name for it is "Acidobacteria bacterium partial 16S ribosomal RNA". It matches the Rfam family "Bacterial small subunit ribosomal RNA", at positions 355 to 776 of the family's 1533-position model. The record is from RNAcentral. Lineage: Bacteria; Pseudomonadati; Acidobacteriota.